This 2904-nucleotide ribosomal RNA is filed under the name Escherichia coli O157:H7 str. EC4113. Its description in RNAcentral is "bacterial LSU rRNA". It matches the Rfam family "Bacterial large subunit ribosomal RNA". Lineage: Bacteria; Pseudomonadati; Pseudomonadota; Gammaproteobacteria; Enterobacterales; Enterobacteriaceae. The record is from RNAcentral.
GGUUAAGCGACUAAGCGUACACGGUGGAUGCCCUGGCAGUCAGAGGCGAUGAAGGACGUGCUAAUCUGCGAUAAGCGUCGGUAAGGUGAUAUGAACCGUUAUAACCGGCGAUUUCCGAAUGGGGAAACCCAGUGUGAUUCGUCACACUAUCAUUAACUGAAUCCAUAGGUUAAUGAGGCGAACCGGGGGAACUGAAACAUCUAAGUACCCCGAGGAAAAGAAAUCAACCGAGAUUCCCCCAGUAGCGGCGAGCGAACGGGGAGCAGCCCAGAGCCUGAAUCAGUGUGUGUGUUAGUGGAAGCGUCUGGAAAGGCGCGCGAUACAGGGUGACAGCCCCGUACACAAAAAUGCACAUACUGUGAGCUCGAUGAGUAGGGCGGGACACGUGGUAUCCUGUCUGAAUAUGGGGGGACCAUCCUCCAAGGCUAAAUACUCCUGACUGACCGAUAGUGAACCAGUACCGUGAGGGAAAGGCGAAAAGAACCCCGGCGAGGGGAGUGAAAAAGAACCUGAAACCGUGUACGUACAAGCAGUGGGAGCCUCUUUUAUGGGGUGACUGCGUACCUUUUGUAUAAUGGGUCAGCGACUUAUAUUCUGUAGCAAGGUUAACCGAAUAGGGGAGCCGAAGGGAAACCGAGUCUUAACCGGGCGUUAAGUUGCAGGGUAUAGACCCGAAACCCGGUGAUCUAGCCAUGGGCAGGUUGAAGGUUGGGUAACACUAACUGGAGGACCGAACCGACUAAUGUUGAAAAAUUAGCGGAUGACUUGUGGCUGGGGGUGAAAGGCCAAUCAAACCGGGAGAUAGCUGGUUCUCCCCGAAAGCUAUUUAGGUAGCGCCUCGUGAAUUCAUCUCCGGGGGUAGAGCACUGUUUCGGCAAGGGGGUCAUCCCGACUUACCAACCCGAUGCAAACUGCGAAUACCGGAGAAUGUUAUCACGGGAGACACACGGCGGGUGCUAACGUCCGUCGUGAAGAGGGAAACAACCCAGACCGCCAGCUAAGGUCCCAAAGUCAUGGUUAAGUGGGAAACGAUGUGGGAAGGCCCAGACAGCCAGGAUGUUGGCUUAGAAGCAGCCAUCAUUUAAAGAAAGCGUAAUAGCUCACUGGUCGAGUCGGCCUGCGCGGAAGAUGUAACGGGGCUAAACCAUGCACCGAAGCUGCGGCAGCGACACUGUGUGUUGUUGGGUAGGGGAGCGUUCUGUAAGCCUGUGAAGGUGUACUGUGAGGUAUGCUGGAGGUAUCAGAAGUGCGAAUGCUGACAUAAGUAACGAUAAAGCGGGUGAAAAGCCCGCUCGCCGGAAGACCAAGGGUUCCUGUCCAACGUUAAUCGGGGCAGGGUGAGUCGACCCCUAAGGCGAGGCCGAAAGGCGUAGUCGAUGGGAAACAGGUUAAUAUUCCUGUACUUGGUGUUACUGCGAAGGGGGGACGGAGAAGGCUAUGUUGGCCGGGCGACGGUUGUCCCGGUUUAAGCGUGUAGGCUGGUUUUCCAGGCAAAUCCGGAAAAUCAAGGCUGAGGCGUGAUGACGAGGCACUACGGUGCUGAAGCAACAAAUGCCCUGCUUCCAGGAAAAGCCUCUAAGCAUCAGGUAACAUCAAAUCGUACCCCAAACCGACACAGGUGGUCAGGUAGAGAAUACCAAGGCGCUUGAGAGAACUCGGGUGAAGGAACUAGGCAAAAUGGUGCCGUAACUUCGGGAGAAGGCACGCUGAUAUGUAGGUGAAGUCCCUCGCGGAUGGAGCUGAAAUCAGUCGAAGAUACCAGCUGGCUGCAACUGUUUAUUAAAAACACAGCACUGUGCAAACACGAAAGUGGACGUAUACAGUGUGACGCCUGCCCCGGUGCCGGAAGGUUAAUUGAUGGGGUCAGCGCAAGCGAAGCUCUUGAUCGAAGCCCCGGUAAACGGCGGCCGUAACUAUAACGGUCCUAAGGUAGCGAAAUUCCUUGUCGGGUAAGUUCCGACCUGCACGAAUGGCGUAAUGAUGGCCAGGCUGUCUCCACCCGAGACUCAGUGAAAUUGAACUCGCUGUGAAGAUGCAGUGUACCCGCGGCAAGACGGAAAGACCCCGUGAACCUUUACUAUAGCUUGACACUGAACAUUGAGCCUUGAUGUGUAGGAUAGGUGGGAGGCUUUGAAGUGUGGACGCCAGUCUGCAUGGAGCCGACCUUGAAAUACCACCCUUUAAUGUUUGAUGUUCUAACGUGGACCCGUGAUCCGGGUUGCGGACAGUGUCUGGUGGGUAGUUUGACUGGGGCGGUCUCCUCCUAAAGAGUAACGGAGGAGCACGAAGGUUGGCUAAUCCUGGUCGGACAUCAGGAGGUUAGUGCAAUGGCAUAAGCCAGCUUGACUGCGAGCGUGACGGCGCGAGCAGGUGCGAAAGCAGGUCAUAGUGAUCCGGUGGUUCUGAAUGGAAGGGCCAUCGCUCAACGGAUAAAAGGUACUCCGGGGAUAACAGGCUGAUACCGCCCAAGAGUUCAUAUCGACGGCGGUGUUUGGCACCUCGAUGUCGGCUCAUCACAUCCUGGGGCUGAAGUAGGUCCCAAGGGUAUGGCUGUUCGCCAUUUAAAGUGGUACGCGAGCUGGGUUUAGAACGUCGUGAGACAGUUCGGUCCCUAUCUGCCGUGGGCGCUGGAGAACUGAGGGGGGCUGCUCCUAGUACGAGAGGACCGGAGUGGACGCAUCACUGGUGUUCGGGUUGUCAUGCCAAUGGCACUGCCCGGUAGCUAAAUGCGGAAGAGAUAAGUGCUGAAAGCAUCUAAGCACGAAACUUGCCCCGAGAUGAGUUCUCCCUGACCCUUUAAGGGUCCUGAAGGAACGUUGAAGACGACGACGUUGAUAGGCCGGGUGUGUAAGCGCAGCGAUGCGUUGAGCUAACCGGUACUAAUGAACCGUGAGGCUUAACCUU